This 303-nucleotide unclassified non-coding RNA is filed under the name uncultured fungus. RNAcentral's name for it is "partial contains small subunit ribosomal RNA, internal transcribed spacer 1, and 5.8S ribosomal RNA". The stretch from base 1 to 73 matches the Rfam family "Eukaryotic small subunit ribosomal RNA", at positions 1759 to 1831 of the family's 1831-position model. The record is from RNAcentral. Lineage: Eukaryota; Fungi.
GCAAACUUGGUCAUUUAGAGGAAGUAAAAGUCGUAACAAGGUUUCCGUAGGUGAACCUGCGGAAGGAUCAUUACCGAGUUUUGAAAGGGUUGUAGCUGGUCCUCCGGGGCACGUGCACACCCGCUCAUCCACUCUACACCUGUGAACUAUUGUAGGUCGGCGUCGGGGCUCCUUAUGGGGUCUUACGGCUUCCUAUGUCUUCUACAAACCACGUCAGUUUUCAGAAUGUAAACGCGAUAAUACGCAUCAUAUACAACUUUCAGCAACGGAUCUCUUGGCUCUCGCAUCGAUGAAGAACGCAGC